AAGAGGUAUACAGCACGCUCGUUCAGAAUCGGCGUGGCCACCACGGCCGCUAAGCGGGGUCUGUCCCCUACUGCGAUCAAGGCGCUGGGCCGUUGGUCGUCUGGCGCAUACGUUUCCUGCAUUUGCCUCACUCCUCAUCACGUCGUUGAAGCAUGCUAUAUCUGGUCACGAUUCCGGCUCUCUACCUACUGUCAUAAUCUAAGUUUUCAGCGCUCUCCUGACCAAGGUGCAUCUAUCAAUCAAAUCAUAACGCUCUGCUGUGUCUCUGCUCUCAGCGCAUCCGCGCCAUGUCUUCUCGCAUAGCCUAAGAUGGUGUCUCCUUGUAAGCGGUAGUUAAGCCGAUUUUGAAGCCACCACCACCCCUCCGUCCACCGUCACCAGAGGUUCCCGUCUGUUAGGGGGCAGGCUACGCCCGCCUCCAUCUCCGCUGGAGGAUAUGCUGUCCUACCCCGGAGUUCAACGCGAAGACGGGAACCUUCGCCAAACAGAUUCAUGCAUUUUGUAUCAAGUGUAAUUGUUCGCCAAACUUUUAUGCAUUCCUGUAUCAUGUCUAAUGUUCAAUA
Molecule: long non-coding RNA, 563 nt
Organism: Engraulis encrasicolus (European anchovy)
Lineage: Eukaryota; Metazoa; Chordata; Actinopteri; Clupeiformes; Engraulidae
Exons: 4
Source: RefSeq, a predicted model, not a curated record